UACGAAGGGGGCGAGCGUUGUUCGGAUUUACUGGGCGUAAAGGGCGCGCAGGCGGUUCUGUUUGUCGAGUGUGAAAGCCCCGGGCUCAACCUGGGAACUGCGCUCGAAACGGCGGAACUAGAGUUCGGGAGAGGAGAGUGGAAUUCCCAGUGUAGAGGUGAAAUUCGUAGAUAUUGGGAAGAACACCGGUGGCGAAAGCGGCUCUCUGGCCCGGUUCUGACGCUGAGGCGCGAAAGCGUGGGGAGCAAACAGG
Molecule: ribosomal RNA, 253 nt
Filed under: uncultured bacterium
Lineage: Bacteria
Description: partial 16S ribosomal RNA
Rfam family: Bacterial small subunit ribosomal RNA
Source: RNAcentral